Molecule: transfer RNA, 86 nt
Filed under: Patescibacteria group bacterium
Lineage: Bacteria
Description: tRNA-Tyr
Rfam family: tRNA
About the family: Transfer RNA (tRNA) molecules are approximately 80 nucleotides in length. Their secondary structure includes four short double-helical elements and three loops (D, anti-codon, and T loops).
Source: RNAcentral
GGGUGGAUACCGAAGUGGUCAAACGGGGCAGACUGUAAAUCUGCUGGCUCCGGCCUUCGUAGGUUCGAAUCCUACUCCGCCCACCA